UGUCCCUACGGGGCGCAGCAGUGAGGAAUAUUGGUCAAUGGGCGGGAGCCUGAACCAGCCAAGUCGCGUGAGGGAAGACGGUCCUACGGAUUGUAAACCUCUUUUGCCGGGGAGCAACGGGGUCCUUGCGAGGGCCCGAUGAGAGUACCCGGAGAAAAAGCAUCGGCUAACUACGUGCCAGCAGCCGCGGUAAUACGUAGGUGGCAAGCGUUAUCCGGAUUUAUUGGGUGUAAAGGGCGUGUAGGCGGGAAUGCAAGUCAGAUGUGAAAACUCAGGGCUCAACCCUGAGCCUGCAUUUGAAACUG
RNAcentral lists this ribosomal RNA (305 nucleotides) under uncultured bacterium. RNAcentral's name for it is "bacterial SSU rRNA". It matches the Rfam family "Bacterial small subunit ribosomal RNA", at positions 334 to 635 of the family's 1533-position model. The record is from RNAcentral.